UCUUCCACAAUGGACGCAAGUCUGAUGGAGCAACGCCGCGUGAGUGAAGAAGGGUUUCGGCUCGUAAAGCUCUGUUGUUAAAGAAGAACGUGGGUGAGAGUAACUGUUCACCCAGUGACGGUAUUUAACCAGAAAGCCACGGCUAACUACGUGCCAGCAGCCGCGGUAAUACGUAGGUGGCAAGCGUUAUCCGGAUUUAUUGGGCGUAAAGCGAGCGCAGGCGGUCUUUUAAGUCUAAUGUGAAAGCCUUCGGCUCAACCGAAGAAGUGCAUUGGAAACUGGGAGACUUGAGUGCAGAAGAGGACAGUGGAACUCCAUGU
This 320-nucleotide ribosomal RNA is filed under the name Pediococcus acidilactici. Its description in RNAcentral is "bacterial SSU rRNA". It matches the Rfam family "Bacterial small subunit ribosomal RNA", at positions 362 to 674 of the family's 1533-position model. The record is from RNAcentral. Lineage: Bacteria; Bacillati; Bacillota; Bacilli; Lactobacillales; Lactobacillaceae.